CAAUAGCGUAUAUUAAAGUUGUUGCGGUUAAAAAGCUCGUAGUUGGAUUUCUGCCGAGGACGACCGGUCCGCCCUCUGGGUGAGCAUCUGGGACGGCCUGGGCAUCCUCUUGGGGAACGUAGCUGCACUUGACUGUGUGGUGCGGUAUCCAGGACUUUUACUUUGAGGAAAUUAGAGUGUUUCAAGCAGGCGUCUGCCUUGAAUACAUUAGCAUGGAAUAAUAAGAUAGGACCUCGGUUCUAUUUUGUUGGUUUCUAGAGCUGAGGUAAUGAUUAACAGGGACAAUUGGGGGCAUUAGUAUUCAGACGACAGAGGUGAAAUUCUUGGACCGUCUGAAGACUGACUACUGCGAAAGCAUUUGCCAAGAGUGUUUUCAUUAAUCAAGAACGAAAGUUAGAGGUUCGAAGAUGAUCAGAUACCGU
RNAcentral lists this ribosomal RNA (422 nucleotides) under uncultured eukaryote. RNAcentral's name for it is "bacterial SSU rRNA". It matches the Rfam family "Eukaryotic small subunit ribosomal RNA", at positions 592 to 1018 of the family's 1831-position model. The record is from RNAcentral.